Molecule: ribosomal RNA, 800 nt
Filed under: uncultured bacterium
Lineage: Bacteria
Description: bacterial SSU rRNA
Rfam family: Bacterial small subunit ribosomal RNA
Source: RNAcentral
CUCCGGGCCCAACCCGGAAAGGGCGUCAGAAACUGCAUUGCUCGAGGACUGGAGAUGGAAAUCCGAAUGCAGGGAGUAGCGGUGAAAUGCGUUGAUAUCCUGCAAGAACACCGGAGCCGAAGGCGGAUUCCUGGUACGUAUUUGACGCUGAGGCGCGAAAGUCGGGGGAGCAAACAGGAUUAGAUACCCUGGUCUCCCGACCUUCCACGGUGCACACACGGGGUGGGGGGAUUUCAACCCCCCCGUCCCUUAGCUAACGCGUUAAGUGUGCCGCCUGGGGAGUACGGCCGCAAGGCUAAAACUCAAAGAAAUUGACGGGGGCCCGCACAAGCAGAGGAGCAUGUGGCUUAAUUCGAUGCAACGCGAAGAACCUUACCUGGGUUUGACAUGCAGCUGCGCGUCCCAUGAAAGUGGGAUUCCUUCGAGGGUGCUGCACAGGUGCUGCAUGGCUGUCGUCAGUUCGUGCCGUGAGGUGUUUGGUUAAGUCCACCAACGAACGCAACCCCUUUGACCAGUUGCCAGCGGGCAAUGCCGGGGACUCUGGUCACACUGCUGUUUCACGACAGAGGAAGGUGGGGAUGACGUCAAGUCAGUAUGGCCCUUACGCCCAGGGCUGCACACGUGCUACAAUGGCCGGUACAGAGGGAUGCCAAGCCGCGAGGCGGAGCGAACCCCCCAGAGCCGGCCCCAGUUCAGAUCGGGGUCUGCAACCCGACCCCGUGAAGUCGGAUUUGCUAGUAACGGCGCAUCAGCUACGGCGCCGGGAAUGCGUUAGGGGGCCUUGCACUCACCGCCCGUCA